AGCCCCAAGGUGUUACCACAUAAGAUUGCAAAUCUUAAGAGGCAGGCUAGAUACCUGCUGGGGCUU
This 66-nucleotide transfer RNA is filed under the name Psychrolutes paradoxus (tadpole sculpin). RNAcentral describes it as "tRNA-Cys". It matches the Rfam family "tRNA". From Rfam's summary of the family: Transfer RNA (tRNA) molecules are approximately 80 nucleotides in length. Their secondary structure includes four short double-helical elements and three loops (D, anti-codon, and T loops). The record is from RNAcentral. Lineage: Eukaryota; Metazoa; Chordata; Actinopteri; Perciformes; Psychrolutidae.